RNAcentral lists this long non-coding RNA (1576 nucleotides) under Papio anubis (olive baboon). RNAcentral's name for it is "lncRNA (ENSPANG00000049402.1)". The record is from RNAcentral. Lineage: Eukaryota; Metazoa; Chordata; Mammalia; Primates; Cercopithecidae.
AUGCUUCCUCUCCUCCACUGUUGCUCAAGGUCCACAGUUUACCAGUCCCAGGCGAGUGUGCAGGAGGACCAAGUCCAGGUCCUGAGCACCCAGGAACAGCACUUACCCACCCAGGCACUUGGCUCACCCAGACACAGUGCUCGCCCAGACACGGUGCUCAUCCAGGCACAGUGCUCACCCACCCAGGCACAGUACUUACCCAGGCACAGUGCUCACCCGUCCAGGCACAGUACUCACCCAGGCACAGUGCUCACCCAGGCACAGUAUUCACACAGGUACAGUGCUCACCUGCCUAGGCACGUUGCUCACCCAGGCACAGUGCUCACCUGCCCAGGCACAGUGCUUGCCUAGCCAGGCACAGUGCUCACCUGCCCAGGCACAGUGCUCACCCAGGCACAGUGCUCACCUGCCUAGGCACGUUGCUCACCCAGGCACAGUGCUCACCUGCCCAGGCACAGUGCUCACCCACCCUGACAGUGCUUGCCAGGCCCGUGCCAGGCUCCGCAGUGCCGCUCUGCGCUGUGUUCUUCAGAAGUGAUUCCACAGCCACGUGCCCCAUCAAUCACCAGUGCCUUCUUGGCAUUGCCUUCCUUGUGCUCAAAGGUGUUUGCAUGUCCCUUUCUAAAAAAGCAAGGAGCUACCUGGAGAGACCUGUCUGGUGAGUCUCAUAACACACAUUCUUAGAAGGGUGACAAUAGCUCGUCCUAGCUCUUCAUCUCUGCCGUGGUGAAGGGCAUGAGAUAAAGGCAGCACCAGCUUCGUGGCUCAGCAAGUCGCCCAGAGCAGCCCCACCAGGUCUGCAGCAGCUCCCAGGACGUUCCAGCAUCUCCUCACUAGAUGGCGACGACCUCACAAGUUCGUAAUCCAUUGAGCCAGCACUUGUCCUAAGGCCAGCAAUUGCUUCCAGCAGUUUCUUUAGGGGAAAAAAGGCUGAGCAGGGCCUUGCCUUGUGGCUGAAACCAUCCCUGCACUGGUCCUCAUAGGAGAGGCCGAAGCUGGAGCCUGAGCUCGGGGCAUGCUGACCCAAGGGGCCUUGCCCUGCCCUCCCCUGAGCUGUGGUUCCCACUCCUGCAUUGUCUGCCAAGCAGAGGGAAAGGCGCAGCUGCAAACCACCUUCACUCGCAGUGAAGAAAAGUAAAUCUGCUCCAGACAGGAGCCCCCAGAGCCCUCGCCGGGACCCAUCCCACCCUGAGCAGCACGGGCCUCAGGAGGCAACCAGGCCCUGAGACAAGGCCUUACAGCAGCACCAGUCCAGUGUGGUCAGCAACCAGGUCUCCUCCCUAAUACCGAACCCCGUCUCAUAAGUCAGCUUUAUCAUAUCGCUCAUACCCCUCCUCCUUCUCGCCCCCAUCCCCUUCUCUCUUCACUCUCUCUUCCCCCCUUUCUCCCCUUCUUCCCCACUCUCUCUUCCUCUCUUCCCCCUCCUCCUCUCCUUCUCCCUCUCUUCCUUUCCUUUUCCCUCUCCCCUUCUUCCCCUUUCUCCCUGUCUUUCUCUCCCUCCUCCUCUUUCCCUUUCCCUCCCCUCUCCCUCCCCCUCUUUCCUUCUUUCUGUCUCCUCCUCUCCACACCUGUCCUU